AGAGAGAGACAUGCGCGCAUAUCAAUAAGCGGAGGAAAAGAAACCUAACAAGGAUUCCCCUUAGUAACGGCGAGUGGAAGCGGGAAGAGCUCAAAUUUGAAAUCUUCAAGGUUUUACCUUGACGAAUUGUAGUUUAAAGAAGUGUUUUCUGCUGAAGUUUUGGUAAAAGUUCUUUGGAAUAGGACAUCAUAGAGGGUGAGAGUCCCGUAUUUGACCAUUAUUUUCAGCUUUGUGAUACACUUUCAAAGAGUCGGAUUGUUUGGGAAUGCAGUCCAAAAUGGGUGGUAAAUUUCAUCUAAAGCUAAAUAUUGGCGAGAGACCGAUAGCGAACAAGUACCGUGAGGGAAAGAUGAAAAGAACUUUGAAAAGAGAGUUAAACAGUACGUGAAAUUGUCAAAAGGGAAGCGUUUGACACCAGUGUUGUUUUCUCGAAAAUCAAUUAAAAACUGGCUCGAUUUUGUAUUGUUGAGACCUUAAAAGCUCACUGUACAUUUUUCGUGUCUUUUUUAAUGCACUUUUCGUUUAACAAGUCAACAUCAGUUUCUUUUGUUGUAAAAGGGUCAUUGGAAGGUGGCUUUCUUUUCGGGGAAAGUGUUUAUAGCCUUUGGCCUCUGCAAUCGAAGAGACUGAGGUCUGCAGCGUAGACUCUUCGGGGUUAGAUACAUUUGUGCUAAGUUAUAGCUUUUUAUAGACAACUUGUUGACUAUAAUUAGUCUUGUAGCUUACUCGCUUAUGCUAUUUUACCUACGCUUAGGAUGUUGAAGAUGUAGCACAUCAU
RNAcentral lists this ribosomal RNA (778 nucleotides) under uncultured Neocallimastigales. RNAcentral describes it as "partial large subunit ribosomal RNA". It matches the Rfam family "Eukaryotic large subunit ribosomal RNA", at positions 23 to 620 of the family's 3401-position model. Lineage: Eukaryota; Fungi; Neocallimastigomycota; Neocallimastigomycetes; Neocallimastigales. The record is from RNAcentral.